Molecule: long non-coding RNA, 938 nt
Filed under: Homo sapiens (human)
Lineage: Eukaryota; Metazoa; Chordata; Mammalia; Primates; Hominidae
Description: non-protein coding lnc-ACBD6-3:7
Source: RNAcentral
AUCCUUUCGCGGUCCGCCGAGGCCUCGGAGCAGCGCGACCCGGGUUCCCGCCUCAGGCCCCAGGAGGCGAGGUGUACAGUCCGGUAAAGGAAUGGAGCGCCCGCCGAGCGGUCGCUGCGGGGGUAGCCUCGCGGAGGUUGUUUGGCCUCUCACGGCCCCCGUAUCCAACGGAAGAGGAGUCCGUUGGAAUAGACGACCCGGAUUUCGGCUGUUGUAGGGCAGUUCCUGGGCUCCCGCGGAGCGAUGAGACGUUGUGAAUUAGAUGUGAGAAGAGGGACGCUUGGUCUGCGACCACCAAGACCCCACAGGAUCGAUGCACCCACCCCUGCUGAUGACCAUGACCAUCUAAAGGGGAACAUCAUUUGAGGGGCCCUACUCAUGGAUCAGAAGCCCCUCUUCACUGUGGGGUGUGCUGGGUUGGCGGGCAGUUGCCGUGGAAUCAGUUUCCUCAGGACCCAUAUCUGACCACCCUCAUAAGGUUGUCAGGGCGAUUCCAACAUUCGGGGUUCCCAGCAGCCCAGAUCCCCCACAUCCAGCUCUUCAGCCUACUCAGAGCUCUCCACGCUCACUCACAUGUCCCUCUCGCAAGUAGCCCGAUCAACUCACCUGGUGUCAUGGGCACUAAGGUGUUAAUGGAUUUUCUCUGGUCACCUUUGCAGCUCCACUGUUUUGAGGUCCCAGGAACUCACAGUAUGCUCUAAAAAGGAGAGGGGCAAGAGCUCUGAGUGAGUACAUCCCGUUGGCCCGUGGGAUUUCUUGCCCUAUGGAAAGGAACAUGGACGGAAGAGAAUCAGGUGCUCAGAGCCCUAGACUGGGGCUCCUCUUGCCCCAGUCUUGAGGCAGUUCUAAAGAGCCUCUGGAACCAGAAUGGACGGUCCUCUAGUAACGCUGGAUUCUAUGGGUUGGAAGUACUGCAGCGGCUGGAUCAGGUUCCAGUA